This 460-nucleotide ribosomal RNA is filed under the name uncultured bacterium. RNAcentral's name for it is "partial 16S ribosomal RNA". It matches the Rfam family "Bacterial small subunit ribosomal RNA", at positions 338 to 795 of the family's 1533-position model. The record is from RNAcentral.
CCUACGGGAGGCAGCAGUGAGGAAUAUUGGUCAAUGGACGAGAGUCUGAACCAGCCAAGUAGCGUGAAGGAUGACUGCCCUAUGGGUUGUAAACUUCUUUUAUAUGGGAAUAAAACAGGGUAUGCAUACCCUCUUGUAUGUACCAUAUGAAUAAGGAUCGGCUAACUCCGUGCCAGCAGCCGCGGUAAUACGGAGGAUCCGAGCGUUAUCCGGAUUUAUUGGGUUUAAAGGGAGCGUAGGUGGAUUGUUAAGUCAGUUGUGAAAGUUUGCGGCUCAACCGUAAAAUUGCAGUUGAUACUGGCAGUCUUGAGUACAGUAGAGGUGGGCGGAAUUCGUGGUGUAGCGGUGAAAGGCUUAGAUAUCACGAAGAACUCCGAUUGCGAAGGCAGCUCACUGGACUGCAACUGACACUGAUGCUCGAAAGUGUGGGUAUCAAACAGGAUUAGAUACCCUUGUAGUC